This is a long non-coding RNA of Xiphophorus hellerii (green swordtail), 3299 nucleotides long. RefSeq lists it as uncharacterized. The record is from RefSeq and is a predicted model, not a curated record. The transcript has 2 exons. NCBI's taxonomy places the organism in Eukaryota, Metazoa, Chordata, Actinopteri, Cyprinodontiformes, Poeciliidae.
ACUUCAUGUUUAGUUAGAAACACCAGAGCGCCACCUUCUGGCCUCUCUCCAGAUCAGUUCAGGUCAGAGAAUGGAACUGUUUCUGUCUUUGUUUUUCCCCUCCGUGGGCUGCCACCUUAUCGUGGUGGAGGGGUUUGAGUGUCCCAGUGAUCCUAGGAGCUGUCAGAGGCUUCAUGCCUCUAUUUGGGUCGGGUCUGCCGGGGCAAACGGGUCCUAGGUGAGGGAUCGGACCAAGAGCAGCCCAAAGAUCACUUAGAAAUAUAAACACAGAAUGUUCCUAUUUAGAGAUGAUGACAUAGACAGGGUUCCCCUUACAACCAGAGCUAUAGACAGAAGUUAGAGUUUCUCUGUGUUUCAUCAGCCUGGUGGGCCACCAGGCUUUAUUUUCCCCCCACAAGCUAUGAAUUAUUAUUUUAAAUGGGGAUUUUUCUCCACCAAUGGCUUUAAUCUGAUGGUAAAGACAGAUUAAAGUAAAGGUUUAUAGUUGAGACAUUGAACUGACUGAGGAGUUGUGAACCAGUUGUGCCGUCCCAUCAGUUGGCUUCACACGCUGUAAUUUCUGAGUGUUGAUGCCUGAUCCUGCACCUCAGACUUUCUGUAACUGGACAUUUUUUAACCCAAACACGCUGAUGGACCGCUGAUGGACGAGCCCAGCAGCUCUUCCACCGGGCUCAGCAGGUUUUCUGGAGGAAACCCUGACAGCUUUCCCAGUGGGAGAGUUUCAUCAGGUGUCCCACAGCAGCUUGAUGGACUCGGACUCCGCUACCGUCAGUAGUGAGCCCAACGGGUCGGCGGUGUGUCGCUACGACUCGCUCAUCUGAGGCGCCAUUGGUGGGGAGAUUUGAGAUCAAACAGCCUGAAACCGGCUUCACCUGUUGAGUUUGAGUCGCUACGUCACACUGACCUGAUGGACGCUGGAGGAGAGGAGACGCAGCGAGCUUCUCCUGCUGGCAGAUCUGAGAGAAGAAAAUGAGGAUUUAACUAUACCGUCCUGAUGAGAAGCUGCUUUCAGACCCAGAUGAACUCCAUCCAUCCAGACCUGGUUCCCUUCAUCCAUCCAGACCUGGUUCCCUUCAUCCAUCCAUCCAUUCCUGCUUCCCUUCAUCCAUCCUGGUUCCCUUUAUCCAUCCAUCCAUCCAUCCAUCCAUCCAGACCUGGUUCUCUUCAUCCAUCCUGGUUCCCUUCAUCCAUCCAUCCAUCCAUCCUGGUUCCCUUCAUCCAUCCAUCCAUCCUGGUUCCCUUUAUCCUAGGAAUUACGUGACCAUUUUGAUUUCUUUACAGGGAUGUUCUCGCAAUCUGUUAAAAUAAAAUUAAUGAAACCAGAAAAUCCUGGGAGUUUGUCUUCGACAUGAAGAUUCCUUUGAGAUGACAGAAAAAGAGACUAUUAAACAUUGGGGACAACGUCAUCCCCAAUGUUUAGUUGUCCAAGAUGUUUAACAUCUCCAAUUUAUUUUGUCUCCAUUGCUUAACAUUGUCCUUGAUGUUUAAGGUCAUAGCUGAUGUUUACUGUGUCUUUAAUGUUGUACUUUAUCUCCAAUGUUUAACGCAAAAGGAAACUUUUCUGGAGAUGAAAUUUGACAUCUGAUGAACCUUGGUAAUAAUGUAAAACACCAAGGAUAAUGUUAAGCAUUAUCUUUAAUUAAAUAAAAAAUCGGGGACAAUGUUAAAUAUCCUGGAUAUUAAAUGCUAAACAUCAGAGUUUCUAAAUUGUCUCUUGUUUCUAAAUUGUCUAUUACGUUUUUCUAGAUUUUUCUUCUCUUAUGAAUUGGUUUAUAAUUUUUUCUAUGUAAUAUAGUUUAUUUGUUGGCACUUUAGCACAGUAUGUUGAACAGGAACAUGAAUAUUAUAAUAUGGUUUUAAUUACAAUUUUUUUAUAAUUAGGGCAUUGUAAGUAAGUCAUUAACUUUAGAUAAAGGAUAGGAUUAAAUAAGUGUUCUUCCUACUCCUUUUCAAACAGGAGUGGUAAGCUAAUUAUUUUGAUCUUGGUUAUGUAUGCAUGGUUUUUUUUUGCUUGUUUUAAAAAAUCUGUUUGAAAUAAAUAAAAUAUUUGUUAGUUUGAGUAAGCUAAGCACUUACAGUACAGUGCUUCUAGAAGUGAAUAAUUUGUUUGUGGCAAGUUGUAAAUAUUUAUUUUGAAGCAGGUCAAAGAGAAUUCAGUGCUGUUAUUGUAAUGGCUGUUAAUUAAUGGAGAUGCUCAUUGUUGCUCUCAGAUCUUGUCUGUCAAAAGUCGUCCUAAAUAAAGAAACCUGGAAAACAACAGAUUCAAUACCCGUGUGCCAACUAGAGCAUGUUGUUGGCGAUACAAUGUAUUAAUGCACAAAAAAGAGCUUGCGGUGAUAUGGAUUUGUAGAUGUCUGUGUUUAAUUUAAUUUUAAUAAAAACCUGCUUCACCCGACUGAUACUGUUUCAUUCUUACAAAUACCUCUGUAUUUAGAAUAUUUUUUAAAAGGUAGGAUAUUCUCAUAAAAGCAUUGGGGCAAACAUCUGUGAUAGCUUUUCAUUUUAGAUGGAUAGGAUAUUCUGAUGAAGUGAUAUUUUUGUGUUUUUCUCGUGUAUAUAAAUUGUUCCUAUGCUAAGCUAACUCCUAAGCUUUCAGUCUCGUCACACAAAGAAUGUUAUCCAACGAUAAUAUUUAACAUUAACAGAGCCUGCUGUAGCUUUUGGUUUGCAAACAUGACGGCAGAAGUUUUAAGACGGGUAGCACCGAUAGACAGACAGACACAGCCAUCUAUUCGUGCUACGGUAGGAAAAUCUGACGAGGUAGCACAGAUGGUCAGAACACCUGUUGGGUUUUCCAGACACCUAAAACGUUAACUUAUUGCCCCCAAAAAUGGCACCAUGUUCUUUUUAAGUGAUUGGGCUGCUUUUAAAAGUAGCUGAGAUCGAAAUAGAAGUAAAACAAUUUUAGUUUUGCAUAUUUUCUCUCCUUUAAAUGCCAGAAUGAUUGGACGGACCACAAAUUAAUGGUUAGGAAACUGGAUUGAUAGUGGAAUAGUUCGUUCCAUAAACCUUUUUAACUUCAUAUUUUCUAAUAUAAAUCCAUUGAUAACAAAUGUUUUCUUUUCCAAUCAGAGAAUAAAUUGGACUUUGUAAUUUUUCACACUGUUCUUGUUUUUAUUUUGAAAAAUCUUUUUCUUUUGUAGCUCAUAAACCAGUCUGACUUACAGACCUUCUAGACAACACCUGCAGCACUUUGAUUUGUCUUUGCAUUUUUACAAAAUGAAAUUACAGAUUUACAUUUUAAAAUACACAACAUGUUCAGACAUUGAUAUAGUCAGCUGGAGUGGAGGAAGUGCAUC